UAGGGAAUCUUCCACAAUGGACGAAAGUCUGAUGGAGCAACGCCGCGUGAGUGAAGAAGGGUUUCGGCUCGUAAAACUCUGUUGUUAAAGAAGAACAUAUUUGAGAGUAACUGUUCAGGUAUUGACGGUAUUUAACCAGAAAGCCACGGCUAACUACGGGCCAG
This 164-nucleotide ribosomal RNA is filed under the name uncultured bacterium. RNAcentral's name for it is "partial 16S rRNA". It matches the Rfam family "Bacterial small subunit ribosomal RNA", at positions 355 to 511 of the family's 1533-position model. The record is from RNAcentral.